RNAcentral lists this small nuclear RNA (101 nucleotides) under Marmota marmota marmota (Alpine marmot). The record is from RNAcentral. Lineage: Eukaryota; Metazoa; Chordata; Mammalia; Rodentia; Sciuridae.
GUGCUCACUUCAGCAGUGCAAUAAUUAGAACAAUACGGAGAAGAUUAGCAUGGUCCCUGCACAAGGAUGACAUGCAAAUUCAUGAAGUGUUCCAUAUAAAC